Molecule: ribosomal RNA, 440 nt
Filed under: uncultured bacterium
Lineage: Bacteria
Description: partial 16S ribosomal RNA
Rfam family: Bacterial small subunit ribosomal RNA
Source: RNAcentral
CCUACGGGUGGCAGCAGUAGGGAAUAUUGCUCAAUGGGCGAACCCCUGAAGCAGCUACGUCGCGUGGAGGAUGAAGGUUCUCGGAUUGUUAACCCUCUUUGUUCGAGAAGAUAAUGCCGCUACCUAUCGAAUAAGUACCGGCUAACUCCGUGCCAGCAGCCGCGGGCACACGGAGGGCGCAAGCGUUACUCCGAAUGAUUGGGCGGAAAGGGCGAGUUGGCGGGAUUGCAAGUCAGAUGUGAAAUCCGCUGGCUUAACCAUAGAACUGCAGUUGAAACUGUUAUUCUUGAGUGUGGGAGAGGUAGGUGGAAUGCGUGGUGUAGCGGUGAAAUCCAUAGAGAUCACGCAGAAUACUCAUUGCGAAGGCAGCCUACUAGCGCAUAACUGACGCUGAUGCACGAAAGCGUGGGUAGCGAACAGGAUUAGAUACCCUGGUAGUC